Molecule: ribosomal RNA, 433 nt
Filed under: uncultured bacterium
Lineage: Bacteria
Description: partial 16S ribosomal RNA
Rfam family: Bacterial small subunit ribosomal RNA
Source: RNAcentral
AACGAACGCUGGCGGCAUGCCUAACACAUGCAAGUCGAACGAGACCUUCGGGUCUAGUGGCGCACGGGUGCGUAACGCGUGGGAACCUGCCCUUAGGUUCGGAAUAACUCCCCGAAAGGGGUGCUAAUACCGGAUAAUGUCUUCGGACCAAAGGUUUAUCGCCUUUGGAUGGGCCCGCGUUGGAUUAGCUAGUUGGUAGGGUAAAAGCCUACCAAGGCGACGAUCCAUAGCUGGUCUGAGAGGAUGGUCAGCCACACUGGGACUGAGACACGGCCCAGACUCCUACGGGAGGCAGCAGUGGGGAAUAUUGGACAAUGGGCGAAAGCCUGAUCCAGCAAUGCCGCGUGAGUGAUGAAGGCCUUAGGGUUGUAAAGCUCUUUUACCCGGGAUGAUAAUGACAGUACCGGGAGAAUAAGCUCCGGCUAACUCCGUG